RNAcentral lists this ribosomal RNA (404 nucleotides) under uncultured prokaryote. RNAcentral describes it as "bacterial SSU rRNA". It matches the Rfam family "Bacterial small subunit ribosomal RNA", at positions 355 to 776 of the family's 1533-position model. RNAcentral also lists the same sequence under 1 other name. The record is from RNAcentral.
UGGGGAAUAUUGGGCAAUGGGCGCAAGCCUGACCCAGCAACGCCGCGUGAAGGAUGAAGGUCUUCGGAUUGUAAACUUUUGUCUUCAGGGACGAUAAUGACGGUAACUGAGGAGGAAGCCACGGCUAACUACGUGCCAGCAGCCGCGGGAAUACGUAGGUGGCAAGCGUUGGCCGGAAUUACUGGGUGUAAAGGGCGUGUAGGCGGGAAAGCAAGGCAGAUGUGAACUACCGGGGCUUAACUCCGGGGCUGCAUCUGAAACUGUUUUUCUUGAGUGUCGGAGAGGAAAGCGGAAUUCCUAGUGUAGCGGUGAAAUGCGUAGAUAUUAGGAGGAACACCAGUGGCGAAGGCGGCUUUCUGGACGACAACUGACGCUGAGGCGCGAAAGCGUGGGGAGCAAACAGG